AUGUUGCAGUCCGCACUGGCUGGUCAGACUGCACUGUUACAAGGCUGUGUGGUGCGGGUUGAGAGCUUUCUGGAGCGAGCGGAGGUUGCUUUGGGUAGACUAUCCCUUGUGUCGGCUCUGUUGCAGACCACUCUAACGACACAUGCUCCUUGUGCGACCGGUGUUUGCUCCGCGGGAGAUAGGGGUGAGGAGUUGUACGGCUUUUUCUCCCCUCGUGUUGGAGUCCGUUCAUCGUCGAUGCCUACCUCCCCUUCUAAGGUGUCUUCCACUGAGGGCGAGUCCAUCGCUGUGCUUGUGGCUCCGGUGCUGCAGAUCAUGCCCGAGCUUAGGGAGUUAUGCCUGAGUUUAUCAGUGGAGCAUACGAAGGUGGACAUGUCGGCGGCCUCGAUUGAAGGACAUGUUCCGCCUCUGUCAAGUGAGCAGUUGGAGGUUCCUUUUGUUGAUGAUGCUAAAGGGAAGACAGCUGCAAUUUCAUGA
Molecule: ribosomal RNA, 477 nt
Filed under: Triticum aestivum (bread wheat)
Lineage: Eukaryota; Viridiplantae; Streptophyta; Magnoliopsida; Poales; Poaceae
Description: partial small subunit ribosomal RNA
Source: RNAcentral